Non-coding RNA from Camellia sinensis, 351 nucleotides. The record is from RefSeq and is a predicted model, not a curated record. Lineage: Eukaryota; Viridiplantae; Streptophyta; Magnoliopsida; Ericales; Theaceae.
UAGUGGAGUAGGUGAGGUGGUAGUGGUGCAGUGGGUUAGGUUUAGUGGAGUAGGUUUAAGUGGGUGAAGUAGGUGGAGAGUAGGUGGAUUUUAACAGACUAAUUAAUAUUUUAAAUGUGAUAUUUAUUAGUUGGUGAGUUAUUUGGUCACGUGCGAAAGCGGCAGCUGUGGGCUGAUCCAAAAAUUGUCAAGCAACUCGUCGAUGCAAACUUAUAUGCGUUACUUGGUGAAAGGACAGCUGCAGAUGAUGAAAAGCCUAUUAAAAAGAAGAAAGAAAAGCCUGUUAAAGUUGAGGAACGUACUAUUGCGGUGGAUACCCCACCAAAACCAUCUGAAGAAGAACUCAAUAAC